CCACUUGUGGUCAGGUUUUGACCAAUACAGUUAGUUCCUCUGCACGUUGGGGUCGCCUAUUAGCAAGCUCGAUGGGCAGAUUCUUUAGAUUCAAAAAUUAGUAGAAACUUGGACGUUAUACGAGGAACGAGGUCCUUAUGGAAAGGUAGCGACGUGACACUUCAAGAGUUUCAUUGGAUAAUUACGUUGGUUUAGAAUUUGAUCGUCAUACCAAUUCAUGAUAUCAUGAAUG
Molecule: long non-coding RNA, 232 nt
Filed under: Nicotiana benthamiana
Lineage: Eukaryota; Viridiplantae; Streptophyta; Magnoliopsida; Solanales; Solanaceae
Description: long non-coding RNA (NBEN_LNC031361)
Source: RNAcentral